RNAcentral lists this ribosomal RNA (498 nucleotides) under uncultured bacterium. Its description in RNAcentral is "partial 16S ribosomal RNA". It matches the Rfam family "Bacterial small subunit ribosomal RNA", at positions 28 to 523 of the family's 1533-position model. The record is from RNAcentral.
GAUGAACGCUAGCUACAGGCUUAACACAUGCAAGUCGAGGGGUAGCAGGGUAGCAAUACCGCUGACGACCGGCGCACGGGUGAGUAACACGUAUCCAACCUUCCCAUAACUCGGGGAUAGCCUUUCGAAAGAAAGAUUAAUACCCGAUAGUACUUAUAUAGGGCAUCCUACAUAAGUUAAAGAUUUAUUGGUUAUGGAUGGGGAUGCGUUCCAUUAGAUAGUUGGUGAGGUAACGGCUCACCAAGUCUUCGAUGGAUAGGGGUUCUGAGAGGAAGGUCCCCAACAUAGGUACUGAGACACGGACCAAACUCCUACGGGAGGCAGCAGUGAGGAAUAUUGGUCAAUGGGCGAGAGCCUGAACCAGCCAAGUAGCGUGAAGGAUGAAGGUCCUAUGGAUUGUAAACUUCUUUUAUAGUAGAAUAAAGUGAUCCACGUGUGGAUUUUUGUAUGUAUACUAUGAAUAAGGAUCGGCUAACUCCGUGCCAGCCGCCGCGGUAA